AGAGUUUGAUCAUGGCUCAGGAUGAACGCUAGCUACAGGCUUAACACAUGCAAGUCGAGGGGAAACGACAUCGAAAGCUUGCUUUUGAUGGGCGUCGACCGGCGCACGGGUGAGUAACGCGUAUCCAACCUGCCCAUCACUUGGGGAUAACCUUGCGAAAGUAAGACUAAUACCCAAUGGCGUCUCUAGAAGACAUCUGAAAGAGAUUAAAGAUUUAUCGGUGAUGGAUGGGGAUGCGUCUGAUUAGCUUGUGGCGGGUAACGCCACAAGGCGACGAUCAGUAGGGGUUCUGAGAGGAAGGUCCCCCACAUUGGAACUGAGACACGGUCCAAAACUCCUACGGGAGGCA
Molecule: ribosomal RNA, 349 nt
Filed under: uncultured bacterium
Lineage: Bacteria
Description: bacterial SSU rRNA
Rfam family: Bacterial small subunit ribosomal RNA
Source: RNAcentral